GUACACUCCUGCGGGAGGCAGCAGUGGGGAAUAUUGCACAAUGGGCGCAAGCCUGAUGCAGCCAUGCCGCGUGUAUGAAGAAGGCCUUCGGGUUGUAAAGUACUUUCAGCGGGGAGGAAGGCAAUACGGUUAAUAACCGUGUUGAUUGACGUUACCCGCAGAAGAAGCACCGGCUAACUCCGUGCCAGCAGCCGCGGUAAUACGGAGGGUGCAAGCGUUAAUCGGAAUUACUGGGCGUAAAGCGCACGCAGGCGGUCUGUCAAGUCGGAUGUGAAAUCCCCGGGCUCAACCUGGGAACUGCAUUCGAAACUGGCAGGCUUGAGUCUUGUAGAGGGGGGUAGAAUUCCAGGUGUAGCGGUGAAAUGCGUAGAGAUCUGGAGGAAUACCGGUGGCGAAGGCGGCCCCCUGGACAAAGACUGACGCUCAGGUGCGAAAGCGUGGGGAGCAAACAGGAUUAGAUACCCUUGUAGUCCCAUGA
RNAcentral lists this ribosomal RNA (478 nucleotides) under uncultured organism. Its description in RNAcentral is "partial 16S ribosomal RNA". It matches the Rfam family "Bacterial small subunit ribosomal RNA", at positions 331 to 800 of the family's 1533-position model. The record is from RNAcentral.